CGAAGGAUCCAAGCGUUAUCCGGAUUUAUUGGGUUUAAAGGGUGCGUAGGUGGGCAAGUAAGUCAGUGGUGAAAUCUCCGGGCUUAACCCGGAAACUGCCAUUGAUACUAUUUGUCUUGAAUACUGUGGAGGUCAGCGGAAUAUGUCAUGUAGCGGUGAAAUGCUUAGAUAUGACAUAGAACACCAAUUGCGAAGGCAGCUGGCUACACAAAUAUUGACACUGAGGCACGAAAGCGUGGGGAUCAAACAGGAUUAGAUACCCUGGUAGUCCACGCCCUAAACUAUGGAUACUCGACAUUUGCGAUAAACUGCAAGUGUCUGAGCGAAAGCAUUAAGUAUCCCACCUGGGAAUACGAUCGCAAGAUUG
Molecule: ribosomal RNA, 367 nt
Filed under: uncultured organism
Description: bacterial SSU rRNA
Rfam family: Bacterial small subunit ribosomal RNA
Source: RNAcentral